Molecule: ribosomal RNA, 468 nt
Filed under: uncultured bacterium
Lineage: Bacteria
Description: partial 16S ribosomal RNA
Rfam family: Bacterial small subunit ribosomal RNA
Source: RNAcentral
GACGAACGCUGGCGGCGUGCUUAACACAUGCAAGUCGAACGGAAAGGCCCUGCUUUCGUGGGGUGCUCGAGUGGCGAACGGGGGAGUAAGACGUGAGUAACCUGCCCUUGACUUUGGGAUAACUUCAGGAAACUGGGGCUACUACCGGAUAGGAGCUCCUGCUGCAUGGUGGGGGUUGGAAAGUUUCGGCGGUUGGGGAUGGACGCGCGGCUUAUCAGCUAGUUGGUGGGGUAGUGGAUUACCAACGCUUUGACGGGUCGCCCGCCUGAGAGGGUGACCGGCCACAUUGGGACUGCGAUACGGCCCAGACUCCUACGUGAGGCAGCAGUGGGGAGUAUUGCACAAUGGGCGGAAGCCUGAUGCAGCGACGCCGCGUGCGGGAUGACGGCCUUCGGGUUGUAAACCGCUUUCGCCUGUUACGAAGCGUGAGUGACGGUAAUGGGUAAAGAAGCACCGGCUAACUACGUG